UACGGGGGGGGGCAAGCGUUGUUCGGAAUUACUGGCGUAAAGGGCUCGUAGGCGGCCAACUAAGUCAGACGUGAAAUCCCUCGGCUUAACCGGGGAACUGCAUCUGAUACUGGAUGGCUUGAGAUUGGGAGAGGGAUGCGGAAUUCCAGGUGUAGCGGUGAAAUGCGUAGAUAUCUGGAGGAACACCGGUGGCGAAGGCGGCAUCCUGGACCAACACUGACGCUGAGGAGCGAAAGCCAGGGGAGCAAACGGG
Molecule: ribosomal RNA, 253 nt
Filed under: uncultured bacterium
Lineage: Bacteria
Description: partial 16S ribosomal RNA
Rfam family: Bacterial small subunit ribosomal RNA
Source: RNAcentral